UUCGGUACAUCGGUGACAGGUGGUGCAUGGUUGUCGUCAGCCCGUGUCGUGAGAUGUUGGGUUAAGUCCGCAACGAGCGCAACCCCUAUUGUUAGUUGCCAUCAUUCAGUUGGGCACUCUAGCGAGACUGCCGGUAAUAAACCGGAGGAAGGUGGGGAUGACGUCAAAUCAUCAUGCCCCUUAUGACCUGGGCUACACACGUGCUACAAUGGUUGGUACAACGAGUUGCGAGUCGGUGACGGCGAGCUAAUCUCUUAAAGCCAAUCUCAGUUCGGAUUGUAGGCUGCAACUCGCCUACAUGAAGUCGGAAUCGCUAGUAAUCGCGGAUCAGCACGCCGCGGUGAAUACGUUCCCGGGCCUU
RNAcentral lists this ribosomal RNA (361 nucleotides) under uncultured Streptococcus sp. Its description in RNAcentral is "bacterial SSU rRNA". It matches the Rfam family "Bacterial small subunit ribosomal RNA", at positions 1019 to 1382 of the family's 1533-position model. The record is from RNAcentral. Lineage: Bacteria; Bacillati; Bacillota; Bacilli; Lactobacillales; Streptococcaceae.